Molecule: ribosomal RNA, 381 nt
Filed under: uncultured Chaetomium
Lineage: Eukaryota; Fungi; Ascomycota; Sordariomycetes; Sordariales; Chaetomiaceae
Description: SSU rRNA
Rfam family: Eukaryotic small subunit ribosomal RNA
Source: RNAcentral
GGAAGGGGUGUAUUUAUUAGAUUAAAAACCAAUGCCCUUCGGGGCUCUCUGGUGAUUCAUGAUAACUUCUCGAAUCGCACGGCCUUGCGCCGGCGAUGGUUCAUUCAAAUUUCUGCCCUAUCAACUUUCGACGGCUGGGUCUUGGCCAGCCGUGGUGACAACGGGUAACGGAGGGUUAGGGCUCGACCCCGGAGAAGGAGCCUGAGAAACGGCUACUACAUCCAAGGAAGGCAGCAGGCGCGCAAAUUACCCAAUCCCGACACGGGGAGGUAGUGACAAUAAAUACUGAUACAGGGCUCUUUCGGGUCUUGUAAUUGGAAUGAGUACAAUUUAAAUCCCUUAACGAGGAACAAUUGGAGGGCAAGUCUGGUGCCAGCAGCC